GAUCAUUAACGCGCAGGCCGGAGGCUGGCCCCCCACGAUAGGAAUCAACGUUCCAUCAGGGGUGUGCAGAUGUGCGCCGGUCUUACGCCCCAUUCUUGUCUACCUUACUCGGUUGCCUCGGCGGGCCGCGCUCUCCUGGGAGAGUCGUCCGGCGAGCCUCUUUGGGGGCUUUAGCUGGAUCGCGCCCGCCGGAGGACAGACAUCAAAAAAUCUUGGAAAGCUGUCAGUCUGAGCGUUAGCAAGUAAAAUUAGUUAAAACUUUCAACAACGGAUCUCUUGGUUCCGGCAUCGAUGAAGAACGCAGCGAAAUGCGAUAAGUAAUGUGAAUUGCAGAAUUCCGUGAAUCAUCGAAUCUUUGAACGCACAUUGCGCCCUCUGGUAUUCCGGGGGGCAUGCCUGUUCGAGCGUCAUUUCAACCCCUCAAGCCCGGCUUGUGUGAUGGACGACCGUCCGACCUCCUCUUUCGGGGGCGGGACGCGCCCGAAAAGCAGUGGCCAGGCCGCGAUCCCGGCUUCCUGGGCGAAUGGGCAGUCAAACCAGCGCCCUCAGGACCGGCCGCUCUGGCCUUCCCCCAAAUCUCUCUGAGAUAUUUUUUCAGGUUGACCUCGGAUCAGGUAGGGAUACCCGCUGAACUUAAGCAUAUCAAUAA
This 649-nucleotide unclassified non-coding RNA is filed under the name Trichophyton concentricum. RNAcentral's name for it is "sequence contains 18S rRNA gene, ITS1, 5.8S rRNA gene, ITS2, 28S rRNA gene". The stretch from base 257 to 410 matches the Rfam family "5.8S ribosomal RNA". Lineage: Eukaryota; Fungi; Ascomycota; Eurotiomycetes; Onygenales; Arthrodermataceae. The record is from RNAcentral.